GAUUAACGCUGGCGGCGUGCAUAACACAUGCAAGUCGAACGAUGAAACUUAGUAGACUUCUUCGGAAAGACACUAAGCGGAUUAGUGGCGAACGGGUGAGUAACGCGUGAGUAACCUGCCUUACACAAGGGGAUAGCCUUUGGAAACGAAGAAUAAUACCCUAUAAAACUAUACAAGCACAUGCUAUAAUGGUCAAAGUGAUAGCGGUGUAAGAUGGACUUGCGUCUGAUUAGCUAGUUGGUGAGAUAAAAGCUCACCAAGGCAACGAUCAGUAGCCGGCUUGAGAGAGUGUACGGCCACAUUGGGACUGAGACACGGCCCAGACUCCUACGGGAGGCAGCAGUGGGGAAUUUUGCACAAUGGGGGAAACCCUGAUGCAGCGACGCCGCGUGAUUUAGAAGGCCUUCGGGUUGUAAAAAUCUUUUGUAUAGGAAGAAAAUGACAGUACUAUACGAAUAAGGUCCGGCUAAUUACGUG
Molecule: ribosomal RNA, 477 nt
Filed under: uncultured bacterium
Lineage: Bacteria
Description: partial 16S ribosomal RNA
Rfam family: Bacterial small subunit ribosomal RNA
Source: RNAcentral